UCGAAUGAUCCGGCCGAUCCAAAUGGGUACGAAAAAAACUAUAAAAUUCAUUUAUGAAGUAUGACAUACCUACGUAUAAUAAAUAACUAGACCUAUAGCUAUCCUUGCGAGUUUGUUUGAAGCAUUUUACUUAGAAUGCAUAUGAUAUACCAAUUUCCCGGAUGUUAACGUCACAAUAGAAGGAAGAAUUUUUACAUAUGGGAAAUCCCAACUAUAGUUGUGAAAUGAAGGAAUUGAAGGCAGAUCUCUUUGGAUAUACGAGUACCUUCUACCUACAUAGCGUGAUUCGAAUGGCCCAACUUGAAGAAACACGUUUUUGAUGAAAAUGAACUUUCUACACUUAUUUAUAUCUACAGUUUUUGCUAACGAACGUCGGAAAUUUGUACAUAAAUUUGUAUACGAUAAGUGGCACCAUUACAAAACCAAAAUAAGAAUCUUCUAAAAAUUCCAUCUAUAGUUAUGAAAUGAAAUGAAGACGAAAUAAGUCGUGAAUCGAACAGCCCAACUUGAAGAAACACUCAUUCCAGAACAAGAACGUUCUACUUUUAUUUAUCCUACCUACAGUUUUAGCUUACGAAAGUCAACAAUUUGCAAAUUUGAAUUUGCGGUAUAGCAUGAAAAAUUUAAGAAGAAGAAGAACCGUCUUCUACCAAAUAAGAUUUGCUGGUGAUAACAUCUUCAACUAAAGCCGAUUGUACACGGAAACGUUAUAGAAGAAUUGCAUUAAAAUAAACCAUCAAAAAAAGAAAACAUGAAAAUAACAAAUGGAGAGCGGGGAAUAUUUCACCAGGUUUCGGUUACCUAUUGUGAAUUAUUAUUACGAAAUAAAUGAAUACUUACCUAGUUACGUACCUACCUACAAUUUUCUGUUCUCUAAUAAAUUAAACUUGCUGAUAAAGUUCA
Molecule: long non-coding RNA, 903 nt
Organism: Planococcus citri (citrus mealybug)
Lineage: Eukaryota; Metazoa; Arthropoda; Insecta; Hemiptera; Pseudococcidae
Exons: 2
Source: RefSeq, a predicted model, not a curated record